RNAcentral lists this ribosomal RNA (385 nucleotides) under uncultured bacterium. RNAcentral describes it as "bacterial SSU rRNA". It matches the Rfam family "Bacterial small subunit ribosomal RNA", at positions 30 to 417 of the family's 1533-position model. The record is from RNAcentral.
AUUGAACGCUGGCGGCGUGCUUAACACAUGCAAGUCGUGCGGUAACAGGCGUAGCAAUACGUGCUGACGAGCGGCGAACGGGUGCGUAAUACAUGGGAAUCUGCCCUUUAGUGGGGAAUAACCCGGCGAAAGCCGGGCUAAUGCCGCAUAAGAUCUUCGGAUGAAAGCGGGGGAUCGUAAGACCUCGCGCUGAUGGAUGAGCCCAUGCCGGAUUAGCAGUUGGUGAGGUAAAGGCUCACCAAGGCGACGAUCCGUAGCUGGUCUGAGAGGACGGCCAGCCACACUGGGACUGAGACACGGCCCAGACUCCUACGGGAGGCAGCAGUGGGAAUAUUGGACAUGGGGAAACCCUGAUCCAGCGACGCCGCGUGUGUGAAGAAGGCCU